AGCACAGGGGAGCUUGCUCCCCGGGUGACGAGUGGCGGACGGGUGAGUAAUGUCUGGGGAUCUGCCCGAUGGAGGGGGAUAACUACUGGAAACGGUAGCUAAUACCGCAUAACCUCGAAAGAGCAAAGUGGGGGACCUUCGGGCCUCACACCAUCGGAUGAACCCAGAUGGGAUUAGCUAGUAGGUGGGGUAACGGCUCACCUAGGCGACGAUCCCUAGCUGGUCUGAGAGGAUGACCAGCCACACUGGAACUGAGACACGGUCCAGACUCCUACGGGAGGCAGCAGUGGGGAAUAUUGCACAAUGGGCGCAAGCCUGAUGCAGCCAUGCCGCGUGUAUGAAGAAGGCCUUCGGGUUGUAAAGUACUUUCAGCGGGGAGGAAGGGAUGAAGGUUAAUAACCUUCGUCAUUGACGUUACCCGCAGAAGAAGCACCGGCUAACUCCGUGCCAGCAGCCGCGGUAAUACGGAGGGUGCAAGCGUUAAUCGGAAUUACUGGGCGUAAAGCGCACGCAGGCGGUUUGUUAAGUCAGAUGUGAAAUCCCCGGGCUCAACCUGGGAACUGCAUUUGAAACUGGCAAGCUUGAGUCUCGUAAGGGGGGUAGAAUUCCAGGUGUA
This 616-nucleotide ribosomal RNA is filed under the name uncultured bacterium. Its description in RNAcentral is "bacterial SSU rRNA". It matches the Rfam family "Bacterial small subunit ribosomal RNA", at positions 68 to 677 of the family's 1533-position model. The record is from RNAcentral.